Non-coding RNA from Cordylochernes scorpioides, 85 nucleotides. Lineage: Eukaryota; Metazoa; Arthropoda; Arachnida; Pseudoscorpiones; Chernetidae. The record is from the annotation of a GenBank genome assembly.
CGUCUAGAAGGUGGAAAUGAACAACACCGCUUUUAAACGGUUACAGGUUUGAAGCCUGCAUCCCGGAACUCCAAAGUUCAUCUAG